Molecule: ribosomal RNA, 478 nt
Filed under: uncultured bacterium
Lineage: Bacteria
Description: partial 16S ribosomal RNA
Rfam family: Bacterial small subunit ribosomal RNA
Source: RNAcentral
GAUUAACGCUGGCGGCGUGCAUAACACAUGCAAGUCGAACGAUGAAACUUUACUGACUUCUUCGGAAUGAUUUAAAGCGGAUUAGUGGCGAACGGGUGAGUAACGCGUGAGUAACCUGCCUUACACAAGGGGAUAGCCCCUGGAAACGGAGAAUAAUACCCUAUGAAACCAGACAAUCGCAUGAUAAUCUGGUCAAAAUGUUUAGUGGUGUAAGAUGGACUUGCGUCUGAUUAGCUAGUUGGUGAGAUAAAAGCUCACCAAGGCAACGAUCAGUAGCCGGCUUGAGAGAGUGUACGGCCACAUUGGGACUGAGACACGGCCCAGACUCCUACGGGAGGCAGCAGUGGGGAAUUUUGCACAAUGGGGGAAACCCUGAUGCAGCGACGCCGCGUGAUUUAGAAGGCCUUCGGGUUGUAAAAAUCUUUUGUAUAGGAAGAAAAUGACAGUACUAUACGAAUAAGGUCCGGCUAAUUACGUG